Long non-coding RNA from Hemiscyllium ocellatum (epaulette shark), 620 nucleotides. RefSeq lists it as uncharacterized. The transcript has 2 exons. NCBI's taxonomy places the organism in Eukaryota, Metazoa, Chordata, Chondrichthyes, Orectolobiformes, Hemiscylliidae. The record is from RefSeq and is a predicted model, not a curated record.
UGGCAACAAAUGGCCACAAACCGAUCAAAGGUGAAAGUGACGGUGAACCAGACAGAGCAGUCAGUGGCUGAAUAAACCAGGAUGGCGUGGAUAUUACACACGGGGACGGAGUACAGGAAAUAAAACUGUUCCCGAUAAACAAUGGGAAUGUGUCUCAGGAUCAGGUCGAGGAUAAUGACCAGGAGAUCCGCCGCUGCCAUGGCCCCCAGGGGCUUCCUCGUGUUACUGACAGCAAGAUCACCUGAGAGGGACAAACACAGGCACAGACCAAGUUACAAGGAUGUGUCUCAUAACUUCGGAAACACACCUGUCCAUGGACCAUCACAUGGAACACACUGGGAAGUGAACAACAGCCUGACACACACCAUUUCACUGUUUCUGAGCGACACAAUGCCAGCAAUCGAUAUACUACAGAGCCAAAACCCGAGGCCAGGGAAAGAUACAGAGGGACAGAGAGUCUCACAUUAAAGACAGAAACAGACAGUUAAUUAAUUGAAAAGAUGUUGUGAAAAUAUGGGGAAAAAGACAUGGCCGUGGGACUAACUCGAGCAGUGAGAUCUUCGAAAGCAAAAUUACAAGAAUGAGAACAUUGAAUAAAGGCAUUGUCAGAUCAACGGAAA